Molecule: ribosomal RNA, 473 nt
Filed under: uncultured bacterium
Lineage: Bacteria
Description: partial 16S ribosomal RNA
Rfam family: Bacterial small subunit ribosomal RNA
Source: RNAcentral
GAUGAACGCUAGCGGCAGGCCUAAUACAUGCAAGUCGAACGGGUGGUCGCAAGACCCCUAGUGGCGCACGGGUGCGUAACGCGUAACCAACCUGCCCCGAUCUGGGGGAUAGCCCGCCGAAAGGCGGAUUAAUACCGCAUAUACCCGCAGCCUGGCAUCAGGCAACGGGGAACGAUUUAUUGGAUCGGGAUGGGGUUGCGUGACAUUAGCUAGUUGGAGGGGUAAGGGCCCACCAAGGCGACGAUGUCUAGGGGACCUGCGAGGGUGCUCCCCCACACUGGCACUGGGAUACGGGCCAGACUCCUACGGGAGGCAGCAGUAGGGAAUAUUGGGCAAUGGGCGAGAGCCUGACCCAGCCAUGCCGCGUGCCGGAUGAAGGCCUUCUGGGUUGUAAACGGCUUUUCUCAGGGAAGAAAAAGACCUUGCGAGGUACACUGACGGUACCUGAGGAAUAAGCACCGGCUAACUCCGUG